AUGAAACUAAUAUUCCACAAUCUCUAUGUAAAUGAAGAAGAUACGGCAGGGACAAAACACAAUACAUCAUUCGUCUGCGUGCUCAAGAUGCUCAGCAACACCACUCUGGACUCGGUGUACGAACUCCGGCGAAAGCAGCUCCGGGAAACUGUCGGGUACUUCUACAGUCGGGUCGGGUCGGCGGUAAACAUCGGCGAGCAGAUGUUCUUGAACGUGCUCAAUGUUAUCACCAACACGUUGUGGGGUGGGACGGUGGAGGGGGACGAGAGGGCUGGACUUGGAGCCGAGUUUCGGGAAGUUGUAUCGGAGAUGACGGAGCUUAUGAGGAAGCCGAAUGUUUCGGACUUUUACCCGGGUUUGGCCCGGUUCGAUUUGCAAGGCGUGGAGAAGCAGAUGGCGGGGUUGGCUCGGAGGUUUGAUGGGAUAUUUGAGAAGGUAAUUGAUCAACGGCUGCGGAUGGAGAAAGAAGGUGUGAAAAAGAGCAUUGAUGUUUUGACGUUUUUGUUGAAGUUGAAAGACGAGGGAGGAGAUUCGAAGACGCCUUUCACUAUGACCCAUGUCAAAGCUCUGCUUAUGGAUAUGGUGGUGGGUGGCACUGACACUUCCUCCAACACAGUUGAGUUUGCAUUGGCUGAAAUUAUGCACAGACCAGAGGUGAUGAAAAAAGCCCAGCAAGAACUAGAAGCUGUAGUUGGCAAACACAACAUUGUAGAAGAGUCUCAUAUUCAUAAUCUACCCUACUUACAAGCUGUGAUGAAAGAAACUCUGCGCUUGCACCCAGCCCCUGCCACUACUAGUCCCUCACUGCCCAAGUGAAACCUGCACUGUGGGCGGCUACACCAUCCCGAAAGGGUCUCGGAUUUUCGUGAACGUCUGGGCAAUACACAGGGAUCCUUCUAUUUGAGUAAACCCAUUGGUGUUUGAUCCAGAAAGGUUCUUGAACAGCAAAUGGGACUAUAGUGGAAAUGACUUCAACUACUUCCCAUUUGGGUCUGGCAGAAGGAUAUGCGCUGGGAUUGCAAUGGCUGAGAGGAUGGUGAUGCAUUCACUUGCUACACUUGUGCACUCUUUUGACUGGACAUUGCCACAAGGACAGAAGUUGGAUCUUUCAGAGAAGUUUGGGAUUGUGCUGAAAAAGAAGAUCCCUUUGGUUGCUAUCCCAACUCCUAGGUUAUCUGAUCCUGCACUCUAUGAUUAGCCAACUUCAUUUAGGACCGCAAGGAUUUAUUGGGAUAU
This is an RNA transcript of Prunus avium (sweet cherry), 1236 nucleotides long. It is a transcript of the gene named flavonoid 3'-monooxygenase CYP75B137-like, with no coding region annotated. NCBI's taxonomy places the organism in Eukaryota, Viridiplantae, Streptophyta, Magnoliopsida, Rosales, Rosaceae. The record is from RefSeq and is a predicted model, not a curated record.